GACGAACGCUGGCGGCGUGCUUAACACAUGCAAGUCGAACGGAAAGGCCCUGCUUUUGUGGGGUGCUCGAGUGGCGAACGGGUGAGUAACACGUGAGUAACCUGCCCCUGACUUUGAGAUAACUUCAGGAAACUGGGGCUAAUACCGGAUAGGAGCUCCUGCUGCAUGGUGGGGGUUGGAAAGUUUCGGCGGUUGGGGAUGGACUCGCGGCUUAUCAGCUUGUUGGUGGGGUAGUGGCUUACCAAGGCUUUGACGGGUAGCCGGCCUGUGAGGGUGACCGGCCACAUUGGGACGGAGAUACGGCCCAGACACCUACGGGAGGCAGGAGGGAGGAAGGUAGAACAAAGGGCGGGAGCCUGACGGAGCAACGCCGGGUGCGGGAUGACGGCCUUCGGGUGGUAAACCGAUUUCGCCUGUGACGAAGCGUGAGUGACGGUAAUGGGUAAAGAAGCACCGGCUAACUACGU
Molecule: ribosomal RNA, 467 nt
Filed under: uncultured bacterium
Lineage: Bacteria
Description: partial 16S ribosomal RNA
Rfam family: Bacterial small subunit ribosomal RNA
Source: RNAcentral